Camelus ferus (Wild Bactrian camel) is the source of this 72-nucleotide transfer RNA. It matches the Rfam family "tRNA". From Rfam's summary of the family: Transfer RNA (tRNA) molecules are approximately 80 nucleotides in length. Their secondary structure includes four short double-helical elements and three loops (D, anti-codon, and T loops). NCBI's taxonomy places the organism in Eukaryota, Metazoa, Chordata, Mammalia, Artiodactyla, Camelidae. The record is from Rfam.
GAGGGUAUAGUUCAGCAGUAGAGUGCAUGCCUAACAUGCACAAGGUCCUGGGUUCAAUCCCCAGUAUCUCCA